This 505-nucleotide ribosomal RNA is filed under the name uncultured bacterium. RNAcentral describes it as "partial 16S ribosomal RNA". It matches the Rfam family "Bacterial small subunit ribosomal RNA", at positions 28 to 507 of the family's 1533-position model. The record is from RNAcentral.
GACGAACGCUGGCGGCGUGCCUAAUACAUGCAAGUAGAACGCACAGUUUAUACCGUAGCUUGCUACACCAUAGACUGUGAGUUGCGAACGGGUGAGUAACGCGUAGGUAACCUGCCUGGUAGCGGGGGAUAACUAUUGGAAACGAUAGCUAAUACCGCAUAAUAUUAAUUAUUGCAUGAUAAUUAAUUGAAAGGUGCAAUUGCACCACUACCAGAUGGACCUGCGUUGUAUUAGCUAGUAGGUGAGGUAACGGCCCACCUAGGCGACGAUACAUAGCCGACCGGAGAGGGUGAUCGGCCACACUGGGACUGAGACACGGCCCAGACUCCUACGGGAGGCAGCAGUAGGGAAUCUUCGGCAAUGGACGAAAGUCUGACCGAGCAACGCCGCGUGAGUGAAGAAGGUUUUCGGAUCGUAAAGCUCUGUUGUAAGAGAAGAACGGGUGUGAGAGUGGAAAGUUCACACUGUGACGGUAUCUGACCAGAAAGGGACGGCUAACUACGUG